This 829-nucleotide ribosomal RNA is filed under the name Psora decipiens. RNAcentral's name for it is "LSU rRNA". It matches the Rfam family "Eukaryotic large subunit ribosomal RNA", at positions 95 to 938 of the family's 3401-position model. Lineage: Eukaryota; Fungi; Ascomycota; Lecanoromycetes; Lecanorales; Psoraceae. The record is from RNAcentral.
GAAGCGGCAACAGCUCAAAUUUGAAGAUCUGACCCUUUGGGGUCCGAGUUGUAAUUUGCAGAGGGUGUUUCGGGCGCGGUACCGGUUUAAGUCCUUUGGAACAGGGUGUCAUAGAGGGUGAGAACCCCGUAUGCGACCGGCCGCCAAACCUAUGUGAAACCCCUUCGACGAGUCGAGUUGUUUGGGAAUGCAGCUCAAAAUGGGUGGUAAAUUUCAUCUAAAGCUAAAUACUGGCCAGAGACCGAUAGCGCACAAGUAGAGUGAUCGAAAGAUGAAAAGCACUUUGGAAAGAGAGUCAAACAGCACGUGAAAUUGUUGAAAGGGAAGCGCUUGCGACCAGACCUGCUCGUGGGUGAUCAGCGGUGCUUUUCGCGCCGUGCACUCGUCCGCGAUCAGGCCAGCAUCGGUUCAGGCGGCCGGACAAAGACUCGGAGAAUGUAGCUUCCUUCGGGGAGUAUUAUAGCUCCUUGUGUAAUACGGCCAGCCGGGACCGAGGACCGCGCUUCGGCUAGGAUGCUGGCGUAAUGGUUGUAAGCGACCCGUCUUGAAACACGGACCAAGGAGUCUAACAUCUGUGCGAGUGUUUGGGCGUUAAACCCAUACGCGGAAUGAAAGUGAACGUGAGGUGGGAACCCUCUCGGGGGCGCACCAUCGACCGAUCCAGAUGUCUUCGGAUGGAUUUGAGUAAGAGCACAGCUGUUGGGACCCGAAAGAUGGUGAACUAUGCCUGGAUAGGGUGAAGCCAGAGGAAACUCUGGUGGAGGCUCGCAGCGGUUCUGACGUGCAAAUCGAUCGUCAAAUCUGGGUAUAGGGGCGAAAGACUAAUCGA